RNAcentral lists this ribosomal RNA (470 nucleotides) under Siren reticulata. Its description in RNAcentral is "partial large subunit ribosomal RNA". It matches the Rfam family "Bacterial large subunit ribosomal RNA", at positions 1929 to 2569 of the family's 2925-position model. The record is from RNAcentral. Lineage: Eukaryota; Metazoa; Chordata; Amphibia; Caudata; Sirenidae.
GGCCGCGGUAUUAUAACCGUGCGAAGGUAGCGUAAUCACUUGUCUUUUAAAUAAAGACCUGUAUGAAUGGCAAAACGAGAAUUCAACUGUCUCUUAAUUCUAAUCAAUGAAACUGAUAUUCCCGUGCAGAAGCGGGAAUAUAAAUAUAAGACGAGAAGACCCUAUGGAGCUUUAAACAUAAACUACCUAUUUAUAUUAAAUUAAUCAAAAGACUAAAUAUAAAAUUACUAGCACUAGCUUAAGUUUUUGGUUGGGGCGACCACGGAACAUAAAAUAACUUCCGAGAUGAAUAACAUUAGAAUUACAAUUCAAAAAACAAAAAAAUUUAACAUAAUUGACCCAAUUUUUGAUCAACGAACCAAGUUACCCUAGGGAUAACAGCGCAAUCCUUUCUAAGAGUUCUUAUCGACGAAUGGGUUUACGACCUCGAUGUUGGAUCAGGACACCCAAAUGGUGCAGCAGCUAUUAAA